RNAcentral lists this ribosomal RNA (346 nucleotides) under uncultured bacterium. Its description in RNAcentral is "bacterial SSU rRNA". It matches the Rfam family "Bacterial small subunit ribosomal RNA", at positions 527 to 873 of the family's 1533-position model. The record is from RNAcentral.
AGAGGGUGCGAGCGUUAAUCGGAUUUACUGGGCGUAAAGCGUGCGUAGGCGGCUUUUUAAGUCGGAUGUGAAAUCCCCGAGCUUAACUUGGGAAUUGCAUUCGAUACUGGGANNNNAGAGUAUGGGAGAGGAUGGUAGAAUUCCAGGUGUAGCGGUGAAAUGCGUAGAGAUCUGGAGGAAUACCGAUGGCGAAGGCAGCCAUCUGGCCUAAUACUGACGCUGAGGUACGAAAGCAUGGGGAGCAAACAGGAUUAGAUACCCUGGUAGUCCAUGCCGUAAACGAUGUCUACUAGCCGUUGGGGCCUUUGAGGCUUUAGUGGCGCASUAACGCGAUAAGUAGACCGCC